CUUCUUAAAGAUCUUGUUAACGAGUAGUUGAUAAGUUGCCCCCUUAUUCUAAAGGCUGAAUGGCAUGAACCUAUAGCAAAAAAGACCUCGAUCAAUAACAAAAGAGAUUUUCUCCUCAUCCUUAGAGGCCUUUCGGACUUGAUUAGAUCCAAUGAAUGCAUUCAUAAAUGAUAGGAGGUGAUGUCCUGAAGUCACAUCCAUCAGCUAAUC
This 210-nucleotide long non-coding RNA is filed under the name Elaeis guineensis (African oil palm). RNAcentral's name for it is "long non-coding RNA (EGUI_LNC012850)". The record is from RNAcentral. Lineage: Eukaryota; Viridiplantae; Streptophyta; Magnoliopsida; Arecales; Arecaceae.